This 502-nucleotide ribosomal RNA is filed under the name Streptococcus intermedius. RNAcentral describes it as "bacterial SSU rRNA". It matches the Rfam family "Bacterial small subunit ribosomal RNA", at positions 28 to 504 of the family's 1533-position model. The record is from RNAcentral. Lineage: Bacteria; Bacillati; Bacillota; Bacilli; Lactobacillales; Streptococcaceae.
GACGAACGCUGGCGGCGUGCCUAAUACAUGCAAGUAGAACGCACAGGAUGCACCGUAGUUUACUACACCGUAUUCUGUGAGUUGCGAACGGGUGAGUAACGCGUAGGUAACCUGCCUGGUAGCGGGGGAUAACUAUUGAAAACGAUAGCUAAUACCGCAUAAGAACAUUUACUGCAUGGUAGAUGUUUAAAAGGUGCAAAUGCAUCACUACCAGAUGGACCUGCGUUGUAUUAGCUAGUAGGUGAGGUAACGGCUCACCUAGGCGACGAUACAUAGCCGACCUGAGAGGGUGAUCGGCCACACUGGGACUGAGACACGGCCCAGACUCCUACGGGAGGCAGCAGUAGGGAAUCUUCGGCAAUGGGGGGAACCCUGACCGAGCAACGCCGCGUGAGUGAAGAAGGUUUUCGGAUCGUAAAGCUCUGUUGUUAAGGAAGAACGAGUGUGAGAAUGGAAAGUUUCAUACUGUGACGGUACUUAACCAGAAAGGACGGCUAAACAA